Molecule: ribosomal RNA, 460 nt
Filed under: uncultured bacterium
Lineage: Bacteria
Description: partial 16S ribosomal RNA
Rfam family: Bacterial small subunit ribosomal RNA
Source: RNAcentral
CCUACGGGUGGCAGCAGUGAGGAAUAUUGGUCAAUGGACGAGAGCCUGAACCAGCCAAGUAGCGUGAAGGAUGACUGCCCUACGGGUUGUAAACUUCUUUUAUAUGGGAAUAAAGUGAUGCACGUGUGCCUUUUUGUAUGUACUUUAUGAAUAAGGUUCGGCUAACUCCGUGCCAGCAGCCGCGGUAAUACGGAGGCUCCGAGCGUUAUCCGGAUUUAGUGGGUUUAAAGGGAGCGUAGAUGGGUUGUUAAGUCAGUUGUGAAAGUUUGCGGUUCAACCGUAAAAUUGCAAUUGAUACUGGCAGUCUUGAGUACAGUUGAGGUAAGCGGAAUUCGUGGUGUAGCAGUGAAAUGCGUAGAUAUCACGAAGAACUCCGAUUGCGAAGGCAGCUUACUAAACUGUCACUGACAUUGAUGCUCGAAAGUGUGGGUAUCAAACAGGAUUAGAUACCCCAGUAGUC